AACCAUAGAAACCUGCGGAGUACCUGCGGAAGGAUCAUUAUAGUAUAUGGAAUCUCCAUUCUAUAAACCCACUCUGCGUAUCUUGUAACUGUUGCUUCCAUGGGACUUGGUUCCGCCACACCGGCUUCACGGCUGGUGAGCGCCCAUGGAAGGAGAAACAAAACUCUUCUUUGAAAUGUAGUCAGUCUGAACAAGUUUCUAUAAACGUUAAAACUUUUAGCAAUGGAUCUCAGAUCGGAA
This 240-nucleotide unclassified non-coding RNA is filed under the name soil metagenome. RNAcentral's name for it is "partial contains 5.8S ribosomal RNA, internal transcribed spacer 2, and large subunit ribosomal RNA". The record is from RNAcentral.